UCAUUCUGUACAAUAUAAUAUAUGAAAGAGGUAGAAGUUUCACUUACAUGAAACACUGUCAUCCUCAAUGGCGAACAUCGAUGUUCCCGAAUAAGACACCCGUCUUAUUGCCUUUUCAGUACCAAUCUGGCUAACAUUACAAGAUAGAGUAUUCAAUUCAUUCAUGAAAUCCCAACCCCUUCAUCACGAAUGACAUAUAUGACAGUCUAUAAUGACGUUCACUUGAUUAUGCGAUUUAAUCAUUAAAUUGAUUUAUACUAAUAAUAAUUUCAAGGCGUCAUUCAGUAUAGAUGAUGCAUAUCAAUUAGGAAAUGAUGUUCCAUAAAUCUUUCUGACUUGGACAUGGCUAAAAAAUCAAUCGAUAAUAUAAGAAAGUUCAUAAAAAGCAAUCAGGCGAUUGAAAGCAAUUGAGAAUCAAAACAAACCGUCACUUUCGAAUAGAUGGGGAGUUUAUGAAUCAUUCUUCUCCGUAACUUUCUUUCUUUAACAAAGUCAUAUUUUGAAAUGUAGCUUUAUUGAUGAAAUCGGAAUUCUGAAAACCAGCCGUGUUGUUCUUUAAUAUGACGUUCUUGCAGCCGACAAUCGAGUAUUGUCCACUUUCAUUUUGAAAUGUGUCUAUUUCACAGAUAAAGUAUUCUGGGUUGGCCUUGACGUAAAACAAAAUAUAACAUCCUUGAAGCAAACACUUAGCUAGUACUUCAAGUUGAGUUCGAAUCAUUGAUGUUUGUGACGUUCUAGUCGGUAAUCAUGAGUAAUUACCAACCCACCAAUUGCGGUGUAUUUAGUUGGGAAGGAAAAACGAGUUUCUGCCCUUAUAUCUCAGAACGAUGGACAUCCGAACCAAGUUCCUAGUCAGAUUCUGCGAGAUCUUAUGGCAACCGCUGAAAUUCCUGAUCUUGAUGAUGUACAACUAUGACGUAUGUACUUAUGUGAUUUCUUUUAUUCAGAUUCUUUUUUAUUCUAUUGUAGUUUUCAGAUGUGAAGUUGUAAACUUUUCAUAAUAUACAACCGUAAGACUGUAUUGUAGUAGUGGUUUUGUAUCCUGAUUGAGGAAAAUUAUGAAAUCAUUUUGAAAAAACGUUAA
Molecule: long non-coding RNA, 1084 nt
Organism: Leptinotarsa decemlineata (Colorado potato beetle)
Lineage: Eukaryota; Metazoa; Arthropoda; Insecta; Coleoptera; Chrysomelidae
Source: RefSeq, a predicted model, not a curated record